AUACGGAGGGGGCUAGCGUUGUUCGGAAUUACUGGGCGUAAAGCGCACGUAGGCGGAUUAAAAAGUUAGAGGGGAAAUCCCAGGGCUUAACCCUGGAACUGCCUUUAAAACUAGUAGUCUAGAGUUCGAGAGAGGUGAGUGGAAUUCCAAGUGUAGAGGUGAAAUUCGUAGAUAUUUGGAGGAACACCAGUGGCGAAGGCGGCUCACUGGCUCGAUACUGACGCUGAGGUGCGAAAGCGUGGGGAGCAAACAGGAUUAGAUACCCCGGUAGUCC
This 274-nucleotide ribosomal RNA is filed under the name uncultured bacterium. Its description in RNAcentral is "partial 16S ribosomal RNA". It matches the Rfam family "Bacterial small subunit ribosomal RNA", at positions 523 to 796 of the family's 1533-position model. The record is from RNAcentral.